RNAcentral lists this long non-coding RNA (3105 nucleotides) under Mus musculus (house mouse). Its description in RNAcentral is "long non-coding RNA chr17:6257266-6260371". Lineage: Eukaryota; Metazoa; Chordata; Mammalia; Rodentia; Muridae. The record is from RNAcentral.
GGCUUUCGUUCCUGCUUGGCUCCUCCCUCAUGCUCCCCUUUCUCCCACUCCUGCUGCCUAGCUGUUGCCACCGGGCCUGGCCAAACCCUGAUUUGAGGAGCCUAUCUCCUUCUCUUCCCCCUCUCUGCCUCCCCGACACAAACCAAAGCUAAUCAGAACGGGGGCGGUCCUUCGCCUUUCUGCUGGGCUACUCUGACCUGGGUACAUGGUCUCAAGCCCCAGCUCGUACUCUUUCAGUGAAGAUGCAUGUAGCGGCCACAUAUGAGAGUCCAGAGAAGCUGUGGGUGUGGGUUUAUUUGAGCUCUCUUGUCCCUUCACCUGCAUUGGAGGAGCGGAGGUGGAGCCCGGGGAUGCUUGGGAUGCUUGCUGAAGGGCACCUUUCCCUUCCUCCCUGUGCUGUGCUUUCUGGUAGGGAAAUGUGUCCUGCAGUCAAAGGCCUUGAAUACCUAGUGCCUUAAGCUGUAGGGAAAGGACUCUGCUGGGUCCAGAAGUGCAGACCUUGGGUGAUUAUGUUACUGACCAGCUGUGUGAGCUGGGAAAGUUACCUGAGCUGUAUCUCAAGCUUCCUCAUCCGUGAAAUGGACAGCUUGGACCAGAUUUCUGUAGGUUCGGAGCCUGGCGUUGAGCAGUUUACACAGUUGGUGGUAAAGAGUGGCAAGCUAUGUGCUGAGCUCAUAGUUACACAGUUCUCCAAAAGUUGGGUCACAAGUAAAUCUUCUCAAAGGCUCAGCAGCUUCCUCGGGCAGUAUCAGGCCCAUGAAAGUUGUUACUGAAUGGAAAGGCCAAUUUACAAAGAGAUGUAGUGUAGGCAAGCGAGGGGACUGAGCCAGUAAAAUCCCUUGCUCUGUGAGCAUGGUGGCCUGAGUUGGCCUUGGACCUAUGUAAGGUAGAAGGAGAGAACCAACUCCAGGGCAGUGGUGGUGCUCGCCUUUAAUCCCAGCACUGGGGAGGCAGAGGCAGGAGGAUUUCUGAGUUCGAGGCCAGCCUGGGCUACAGAGUGAGUUCCAGGACAGUCAGGGCUACGCAGAGAAACCCUGUCUUGAGAGAACCAACUCCAAAAGUUAUCCUCUGACCUCUACAAACAUGCUGUGGCAUACAUGUCCCAGGGAUUCAGACAUCAUACACACACAUGCACACACAUAUAAUAAUAAAUUUUAAAAGCAUCUUGAAAUGUAGUGAUGUGGUGCCGAGACCCUGUGAGCCCCAUAAUCCCACCAAUGAAGCCUCCUGGGAGAUCUGGAAGGUAAAGAAGCUCACGGAUGUUUCAAAUUGCAUUGUUGAAAUAAGAUAAUCUCCCAUCUCUUUUCCUACAUGCUCCCCGCCACUCUGUUCCAUGUCCGCUGAGAAUAUUGCUUUGGUGAAGGAUCCAGCAAAUAAGACCAAGAUCCCCAGGCAGGUAGCAGAAAAGAGAAUAAGUCACUCAGGUGGUUAAUCUGCAAUUGGGUCGUCCUAUCUUCACAUUCAGCUGCUACCCAGGAUCUCCUGUGCCUGUUUUACAUGUGGGGGAUUUGUCAGUGAGCAAGAAAGACUCAUGGCUAAAUUAAGGAGCUUACAGAAGCCAGGAAUUUCAUGUUGUCAUGAAAGCAAGCAAGACUCAUCAGGAGACACUUUAAGAAGAAUAAGAUGCUCACUGAAUGGGGCAGCAUGGAGGAAAGUUACAGAAGAGGGAGGAAGAGGACAACAUGCCUGGAGCCAUAAGAUCAUGAUCUUAGGCAGGGUCAGGUUGAUUUGAACCUUCAUCUAUAAAACCAAGACCAGCCAUGAUAAUAAAGACACCCUGUGAAAGGCAGCUGAAGGGAGAAGGGUUUGCUCUAGUGCACAGUUUAGGGGUAUAGUUCAUGAUUGCUGGGAAAUCCAAGUGCCAAGAACUUAAAGCAGACAUACAGUAUGAACAUACAGACUAGGGAAUGGUGCUGCCCACAGUGGACAGAGGUCCCGACCUCCAUCAACACAACCAAAACACACCGCCCCCACAGGCUUGUCCAGCGGCCUGUCUUCCAGGUGAUUCUAUAUUCUGUCAAGCUGACAGCUAACAUUACCCAUCACACCAGCGAAUACAGAUUGCAUUAGAACAGCAAUGUGAAGGGAUUAGGGCUACUGGGGGAAAUGGAUAAGCAGUUUGGCUGCCUGUCCUAUGGCAAGCAAGUGACUCUUUGUCAGUUGAGUUAGAUUCUGAAGACAAAUUCGCCACAGUCAGAAAGGGUCAGUGAUUAAAGCUGUCCCCCGCCAUGAGAGAAAGUGGACGGCAGGGUACUUUAAACUGUCUCAUGUGGCAAAGCACUUUGCAGAGAACCACAGAGACUUGCGUAGCAGGGAAGUAUUUUAUUAGGUCACUGAGCUAUCCUCAGGUGCUCCUCUGAGCCUGUGAAUCAGUGGGCUAUCCCUGUGCGCCCCAGCUGGAAUGUUCUGGUUACAGUUACAGCUGCUGGGUCUGCCUCACUGGCAGGCGGACUUGCUACUACACUGUUAGCAGCUUCUCCUCUCACCAUCUUUGUUUCCUCACGCGUGAUUAAUAACUAAAGCUCACUGGUCCUUUUUUAUCCCCUGGAGGACCAGAGACUAAUCUCAUACGUUGACAGUUUUCUCUAACAAGGUAAGGAAGGCCCACAACUGUUAAUGACUUGUCUCCCAACGGUGGCUGUGUGCCUGUCAGUUACAAAAUCUGCCCUUCGUGGAAGCUGCAGCCGUGUGUUCAGAGGACUGACAACCAUCUCACCGAUGAGAGAUGACAAUUUAUUGCCUGCCAAGAAAGGGAAAGUGGAAAGGUUGUAAGCAGGGGAGCUGAAAUCCUUGGCUAAAGUUCAAGCCUUUGCGAACUCCCUGGGUUUAGAGGAAGCACUGAAUUCCACCAUGGGAUCACACCAGAAAAGUGAAACUACUAGCUGUCAUUGUCACAAAGAUGUUUCCUGUGACGAUUACCCCCAGAGAUGUACCCAGCCAGAGAUGACAACCACCACUAUAGGUCAGCCUGAAGGUGAGGCCAGACCACUUCUUUUUACAAUUAACUGCUAUCCGGGGGGGGGGGGGGGUGGAUAGUAGCCAUUUGGAUUGCUUCUCAUUCUUAUUCAUGGGGAGGAGAGGCUGGCUUUCCAUGAAUCUCUCCAA